This 254-nucleotide ribosomal RNA is filed under the name uncultured bacterium. Its description in RNAcentral is "partial 16S ribosomal RNA". It matches the Rfam family "Bacterial small subunit ribosomal RNA", at positions 524 to 776 of the family's 1533-position model. The record is from RNAcentral.
CACGUAGGGGGCAAGCGUUGUCCGGAUUUAUUGGGCGUAAAGAGCUCGUAGGUGGUUCGGUAAGUCGGGUGUGAAAACUCUGGGCUCAACUCAGAGACGCCACCCGAUACUGCUGUGACUCGAGUCUGGUAGGGGAGUGUGGAAUUCCCAGUGUAGCGGUGAAAUGCGCAGAUAUUGGGAGGAACACCAGUGGCGAAGGCGGCACUCUGGGCCAGUACUGACACUGAGGAGCGAAAGCGUGGGGAGCAAACAGG